This 550-nucleotide ribosomal RNA is filed under the name uncultured Cryptophyta. RNAcentral's name for it is "SSU rRNA". It matches the Rfam family "Eukaryotic small subunit ribosomal RNA", at positions 594 to 1155 of the family's 1831-position model. The record is from RNAcentral. Lineage: Eukaryota; Cryptophyceae.
AUAGCGUAUAUUAAAGUUGUUGCAGUUAAAAAGCUCGUAGUCGGAUGUCGGGCUCGGGCAGGCUGUCGGCUUCGGUCGGACGGCAGGCUCGGGUCUUUCUGCCUGAGGAUCCCGUUGCACUUUAUUGUGGGGCGUGGGGACGCAGGCCGUUUACUUUGAAAAAAUUAGAGUGUUCAAAGCAGGCCUACGCUUGAAUACAUUAGCAUGGAAUAAUGGAAUAGGACUUUGGUGCUAUUUUGUUGGUUUAUGGUACCGAAGUAAUGAUUAACAGGGACAGUUGGGGCCGUUUAUAUUUCGUUGUCAGAGGUGAAAUUCUUGGAUUUACGAAAGAUAAACUUCUGCGAAAGCAUUCGGCAAGGAUGUUUUCAUUGAUCAAGAACGAAAGUUAGGGGAUCGAAGACGAUCAGAUACCGUCGUAGUCUUAACCAUAAACUAUGCCGACUAGGGAUCAGUGGAUGUCAAUUUGCGACUCCAUUGGCACCUUGUGAGAAAUCAAAGUUUUUGGGUUCCGGGGGGAGUAUGGUCGCAAGGCUGAAACUUAAAGGAAUUG